CCUAGUUGAUCCUGCUAGUAGUCAUAUGCUUGUCUCAAAGAUUAAUCCAUGCAUGUUUAAGUAUGAACUAAUUUAGGCUAUGAAACUGCGGAUGGCUCAUUAAAUCAGUUAUAGUUUUUUUGAUGGUACCAUACUACUCAAAUAAUCAUAGUAAUUAUAGAGCUGAUAUGUGCACCAAGUCCCUACUCUUUGGAAGGGAUGCAUUUUUUAGAUAAAAGGCUGGCGCGGGCUUGCCCUCUUCUCCGGUGAAUCAUGAUAACUCGACGGAUCACAUAGCCUUUGUGUUGGUGAUGCUUCAUUCAAAUUUCUACCCUAUCAACUUUCGAUGGUAGGAUAGAGGCCUACCAUGGUGGUGAUGGGUGACAGAGAAUUAGGGUUCGAUUCUGGAGAGGGAACCUGAGAAACAACUACCACAUCCAAGGAAGGCAGCAGGUGCGCAAAUUACCCAAUCCUGACAUGAAGAGGUAGUGAAAAUAAAUAACAAUACUGGGCUCAUUAAGUAUGGUAAUUGGAAUGAGUACAAUCUAAAUCCCUUAACGAAGAUCCAUUGGAGGGCAAGUCUGGUGCCAGCAGCCACAGUAAUUCCAACUCCAACAGCGUAUAUUUAAGUUGUUGCAGUUAAAAAGCUCAUAGUUGGAUCUUGGAUCAUAAAGGUCGAUCUACCUACUCGGUGUGCACCUGCCCUUCCAUCCCUUUUGUCAAUGGCAUGCUCUUGAGCUUAAUUGGUUGGGUCGUGACUCUGGUGUUGUUACUUUGAAAAAAUUAGAGUGCUCAAAGCAAUCUUAUGCUCUGAAUACAUUAGCAUGAAAUAACGUGAUAGGAGUUUGGUCCUAUUGUGUUGGCCUUCGGUACCAAAGUAAUGAUUAAUAGGGAUUGUCAAGGGCAUUCGUAUUUCAUUGUCAGAGGUGAAAUUCUUGGAUUUAUGAAAGAUGGACCACUACGAAAGCAUUUGCCAAGGAUGUUUUCAUUAAUCAAGAAUGAAAGUUGGGUGCUUGAAGAUGAUCAGAUACCGUCCUAGUCUCAACCAUAAACGAUGCCGACCAAGGAUCGACGGAUGUUGCUCUAAGGACUCCAGUAGCACCUUCUAAGAAAUCAAAGUGUUUGGGUUUCGGGGGGAGUAUGGUUGCAAGGUUGAAACAUAAAGGAAUUGAUGGAAGGGCACCACCAGGAGUGGAGCCUGUGGCUUAAUUUGACUCAACACAAGGAAACUUACCAAGUCCAAACAUAGUAAGGAUUGACAGAUUGAGAGCUCUUUCUUGAUUCUAUGGGUGGUGGUGCAUGGCCAUUGUUAGUUGGUGAGCAAUUUUUCUAGUUAAUUCCGAUAACAAAAAAGACCUCAGCCUACUAACUAGCUACGCAAAGGUUCCCCUUCAUGGCCAGCUUCUUAGAGGGACUAAGGUUGUUUAGGCCAUGGAAGUUUGAGGCAAUAAUAGGUCUAUGAUGCCCUUAGAUGUUCUAGGCCACACGCAUGCUACACUAAUGCAGCCAACAAGUUUUUCUUCAUGAUUCAAGAGGACUGGGAAAUCUUCUCAAAUUGCAUUGUGAUGGGGAUAGACCAUUGCAAUUAUUGGCCUUCAACGAGGAAUUCUUAGUAAGCGCAUGUCGUCAACUCGUGUUGACUACUUCCUUGCCCUUUGUACACACUGCUCGUCGCUCCUACCAAUUGAAUGAUUUAGUAAAGUGUUCAGAUUGUGUCGAUGAUGGUGGUUUGUCGCCGUCGACAUCAUGAGAAGUUCAUUGAACCAUAUCAUUUAGAGGAAGGAUAAGUUGUAACAAGGUUACCAUAGGUGAACCUGUGGUAG
Molecule: ribosomal RNA, 1802 nt
Filed under: Pinus taeda (loblolly pine)
Lineage: Eukaryota; Viridiplantae; Streptophyta; Pinopsida; Pinales; Pinaceae
Description: SSU rRNA
Rfam family: Eukaryotic small subunit ribosomal RNA
Source: RNAcentral